AUGUGUCGAACAACCAGUCUCUUGCUCACUCUCAUCAGCAUAAGCAUCUUUCCAUUCUUCACAACUGGUUCACUACAGCCCCAGCAUGCUCAUGGCGCCGGCUGCAUCCCGGUCGAGAGGGCUGCCUUGCUCUCCUUCAAAGAGGGCAUUACAAGCAACAACACCAACCUCCUUGCCUCGUGGCAAGGACAUGAGUGCUGCCGGUGGAGAGGCGUCAGUUGCAGCAACCGAACAGGCCAUGUCAUCAAGCUUCACCUUCGAAAUCCGAAUGUGACGCUCGAUGCCUAUGGCUACUAUGAUACAUGUGCUGGUGCCAGUGCUUUGUUCGGCAAGAUAAGUCCCUCUCUGCUUUCCUUGAAGCGUCUAAAGCACCUCGACCUCAGCAUGAACUGUUUACUUGGGCCAAAUAGCCAAAUUCCUCAUUUACUGGGCUUCAUGGGGAACUUGAGAUACCUUAACCUCUCUGGCAUACCAUUUACCGGUACAGUGCCUUCUCAGCUUGGUAAUCUGUCUAAGUUGCAGUAUCUUGACCUUGGCCAAACUGGUGAAUUUUCAGAUUCAGAUAUGUACUCAACGGAUAUCACCUGGUUAACAAAGUUGUCUUUCCUGAAGUUCCUUAGAAUGAGGGGAAUAACACUAGAAGGGAUAGGUGACUGGCCUCAUACCCUGAAUAGGAUUCCAUCUCUGAGGGUUAUUGAUCUUUCCCUCUGUUCUCUUCAUAGUGCAAACCAAUCACUUCCACACCUUAAUCUCACAAAACUUGAGAAGCUUGACCUCUCCCUGAAUUACUUUGAGCACUCACUUGGAUCUGGCUGGUUUUGGAAAGCGAUAAGCCUCAAGUACCUCGCUCUUGGGCAUAACUCACUAUUCGGCCAGUUCCCUGACACACUAGGAAACAUGACGUCCCUUCAAGUCCUUGAUGUUUCCUAUAAUUGGAACCCCGACAUGAUGAUGAUAGGAAAGCUUCUUAAGAAUCUUUGUAGUUUGGAAAUCAUUGACCUCGAUGGUAAUGAGAUAAGUGGAGAGAUAGAAGUGCUGAUGGAGAGUUGGCCGCAAUGCACAUGGAAAAAUUUGCAGGAGUUGGAUUUAAGUAGCAACACUUUCACUGGAACUCUGCCAAACUUUCUUGGUGACUUCACCAGUUUGCGCACACUAAGCCUCUCUGGAAACAGCCUUGCUGGACCUAUACCACCACAGCUUGGGAAUUUGACAUGUCUAACCUCCCUUGAUCUCAGCAGCAAUCACUUCACUGGAAGUAUACCAGACGAGCUUGGGAAUUUGAGGUAUUUAACUGCUCUUGAACUCCAGGGCAACGAAAUUACUGGAUCUAUACCCCUACAGCUUGGGAAUUUGACAUGUCUAACCUCCAUUGACCUCGGUGACAAUCACCUCACAGGAAGUAUACCAGCCGAGGUUGGGAAAUUGACGUAUUUGACUUCUUUGGACCUCUCCAGCAAUCAUCUCAAUGGAAGUGUACCCACUGAAAUGGGUUCUCUUAUUAAUCUGAUUUCUCUGGACCUGAGGAACAAUAGCUUUACUGGUGUGAUCACAGGAGAACACUUUGCAAAUCUAACAAGUUUAAAGCAAAUAGACUUGUCUUACAACAAUUUGAAGAUGGUACUGAAUUCAGAUUGGCGUGCUCCCUUUACCUUGGAGUCUGCAUCAUUUGGAUCUUGCCAGAUGGGUCCUCUGUUUCCACCUUGGCUUCAGCAGCUGAAAACCACUCAACUUAACAUUUCAAGCAACGGUUUGAAGGGCGAGUUUCCAGAUUGGUUUUGGUCCGCAUUUUCAAAUGUCACACAUCUGGACAUCUCUAACAACCAAAUAAAUGGAAGCUUGCCAGCACAUAUGGAUAGCAUGGCUUUUGAAGAACUCCAUCUCAGUUCGAACCGGCUUACUGGACCAAUACCUACUUUGCCAAUAAAUAUCACCCUAUUAGACAUCUCCAACAAUACAUUUUCAGAAACAAUACCAUCAAACCUUGUAGCCCCAGGACUUAAAGUAUUGUGUAUGCAGUCAAAUAAUACUGGUGGCUACAUUCCAGAAUCUGUUUGCAAAUUGGAACAACUAGAGUAUCUGGAUUUGUCGAACAAUAUUUUGGAGGUUCUUGGAUCUGUCAUGGAACAACUUCUCUGGAAGAUUACCUACAUGGAUAGGGAAGCUGGCCAAUUUGCGUUUUCUCAUACUAAGCCACAACAAUUUUCUGAUAGUAUUCCAGUCGACGUAACAAAGCUUGGGCAUCUUCAAUACUUGGAUCUAUCAGACAAUAGGUUCUUUGGUGCAAUACCUUGUCAUCUGUCGAACCUAACAUUUAUGAGAACAUUACAAGAGGACAUAGAUAUGGAUGGCCCUAUUCUAUAUGUUUUCAAAGAAUAUGCGACCGGAAUUGCACCUCAAGAAUUAGGACAAACAUUGUCAGUAAAUACAAAAGGACAACAUCUUAUAUAUCAUAUGACACUUGCAUAUUUUGUGGGGAUUGAUUUAUCAUACAACUCCUUGACUGGUGAAAUUCCUACAGACAUCACUUCACUUGAUGCACUAGUGAAUUUGAAUUUAUCAUCAAACCAGUUGAGUGGAGAAAUUCCAAACAUGAUUGGCGCCAUGCAGUCAUUAGAAUCACUCGACCUCUCUCAGAAUAAACUUUAUGGUGAAAUCCCAUCGAGCUUGACAAAUCUGACAUCUCUGAGCUACCUGGACCUGUCCUACAACAGUUUGUCUGGCAGGAUACCCUCUGGCCCCCAACUUGACACCCUCAGUGCUGAAAAUCAGUCACUUAUGUACAUCGGCAACAGUGGACUUUGUGGGCCUCCUGUCCACAAGAAUUGUUCAGGAAAUGAACCUUCCAUCCAUGACGAUCUCAAAAGCAGCAAGAAAGAAUUUGACCCACUGAACUUUUACUUUGGGCUUGUGCUGGGAUUUGUGGUGGGUCUCUGGAUGGUGUUUUGUGCACUGUUGUUCAAGAGGACAUGGAGAAUUGCUUAUUUCCGGCUCUUCGACAGGGUGUAUGAUCAAGUCUAUGUAUUUGUGGUUGUGAAGUGA
Molecule: ribosomal RNA, 3039 nt
Filed under: Triticum aestivum (bread wheat)
Lineage: Eukaryota; Viridiplantae; Streptophyta; Magnoliopsida; Poales; Poaceae
Description: partial small subunit ribosomal RNA
Source: RNAcentral